RNAcentral lists this ribosomal RNA (254 nucleotides) under uncultured bacterium. RNAcentral's name for it is "partial 16S ribosomal RNA". It matches the Rfam family "Bacterial small subunit ribosomal RNA", at positions 79 to 334 of the family's 1533-position model. The record is from RNAcentral.
CUUUCUUUGCUGGCGACCGGCGCACGGGUGAGUAACACGUAUCCAACCUGCCCUUUACUCGGGGAUAGCCUUUCGAAAGAAAGAUUAAUACCCGAUAGCAUAAUGGUUCCGCAUGGUUUCAUUAUUAAAGGAUUCCGGUAAAGGAUGGGGAUGCGUUCCAUUAGGUUGUUGGUGAGGUAACGGCUCACCAAGCCUUCGAUGGAUAGGGGUUCUGAGAGGAAGGUCCCCCACAUUGGAACUGAGACACGGUCCAA